UUGAAUAAAUCUGGCGUGGUUGUAGCUGGCUCUUAGGAGCAUGUGCACGCCCGUCAUUUUUAUCUUUCCACCUGUGCACCCUUUGUAGAUCUGGAUAACCCUCGCUUACCCAAGCGGAUGCAAGGAUUGCUGUGUCGAAAGGCCGGCUCUCUUUGAAUUUCCAGGUCUAUGUCUUUUUACACACCCCAAUUGAAUGUUGCAGAAUGUAGUCAAUGGGCCUUCACAAGCCUAUAAAACUCAAUA
RNAcentral lists this unclassified non-coding RNA (243 nucleotides) under uncultured Basidiomycota. RNAcentral describes it as "sequence contains ITS1". Lineage: Eukaryota; Fungi; Basidiomycota. The record is from RNAcentral.